Molecule: ribosomal RNA, 253 nt
Filed under: uncultured bacterium
Lineage: Bacteria
Description: partial 16S ribosomal RNA
Rfam family: Bacterial small subunit ribosomal RNA
Source: RNAcentral
UACGGGGGGGGCAAGCGUUGUUCGGAAUUACUGGGCGUAAAGGGCUUGUAGGUGGCCAACUAAGUCAGACGUGAAAUCCCACGGCUUAACCGAGGAACUGCGUCUGAUACUGGAUGGCUUGAGUGUGGGAGAGGGAUGCGGAAUUCCAGGUGUAGCGGUGAAAUGCGUAGAUAUCUGGAGGAACACCGGUGGCGAAGGCGGCAUCCUGGACCAUGACUGACGCUGAGACGCGAAAGCGUGGGGAGCAAACAGG